Molecule: unclassified non-coding RNA, 2400 nt
Filed under: Pogonomyrmex barbatus (red harvester ant)
Lineage: Eukaryota; Metazoa; Arthropoda; Insecta; Hymenoptera; Formicidae
Description: phospholipase D3-like, transcript variant X2
Source: RNAcentral
CAUCGAUGUAACACGCGCGAGUGUGUGUCCCUCGAAACGACACUCGCCACGCAUACUGCGUUUAAUAAUAAUCGUGCGUAUCGGUACAUUUAAUAUUCUCGAGAUAAUCGCGGGACAAGCGCUUGAAUGGGACGCCGCAGGGACGGCCGCAGCCUCCGAUCACACGCGAUCCGCGACAUAUGGGAUCGCGUCCGUCCCAUCGCGAUGCUUUUUGUCGUUUGAAAACACUGAAUGAACAUCGCUGAUCUGUAACACGGACUACGAUCAGCAAAGUAUAUUGUUUAUAAUUUUAUUAUUCUGCACGCAUAUAAUGAUAAACUGUAGGCACGGAGUUAUCGUUGCCUUUGUUUUGUGUUUAACAGGUUAUCACCAGUUGCACAGCAUAUCGAUGUGGAUGUCAAACAUGGUGCAAAAGUCGGACAACGGAAAUGACGCCGUCGGCGACGGCCUCCGCGUGCAUGCGAGUUCGAUUGGCGACGAGUCGUUCGCCACGACCUUGACGCAUUAGAAGACGACCGUUGCGGGUGCAUCGGACGCAAGCGAAAUGCCGUUGUUCGGACGGAAAAUGGGUGGCGGGGGCAGCGGGGGUUCCGAGCACACCGGUCGUAAUUUGCAGGAUGGCCUGUUCCAAAUCGCAUCGCAGGCCUGUCACAUCCUGGUGCAAGUGAACAAUACGCACAACGUUUCUUACGGGGGUAGCAAUAAUGUGAACAACAUCGCGUAUUCAAAGUAUUCCACGGCCGGCGGCUCCACCGCUCCGACGACGUCGUCAUCGACGAAAAGGGCGACCGCUGCCAAAGCGUAUCCGAAGUACGCGGAGCCUCGGGAUAAGGACCAGGAUGUGCUGGUGUUGUUACCGCAUCGCAAGAACAGAACACCGCGCCUCAAGCACAAAUUGUCGACCGUGUCUGAAAACGCACGGCUGGACGUGAACUCUCCGGGAGGUGACGACGAUCUUGAGUUAUGGGACCAGUCCGGAUUUAUGCUGAGAAGCGACAUGGACGAUCCUCUCACGAAUGCAAAGUACAGGUGGGGCGCUCAGAGUUGGUGCAGACCCAGUUGUAUACCGAUAACGAUCAUACUGAUUUUAAUUGUUCUGGUCGUACUCUUGCCGCUGUUAGAUCAUGCGACGGACAAGCUAAAUGUCACCAUGAUAGAUUCAGAAAUGAUGUGCAUGGAUCAUUGUAGUAUAUCCCUCGUGGAAACUAUACCCGUGGGCUUGAAUUAUAGCAAUAAUACGGCGCGGCACGAAACAAUCUACGAGUCUUGGAUAGAUCUUAUUGAAAUGGCACAAGACACAAUUGAAAUCGCAUCGUUAUAUUGGACAAUGAAAGGGGAAGAUGUAGUUCCCGAUAGCAGUGCUAAGAAUGGGGAAGAAGUGUUCGAGUCGUUGUUAAAAGCCGGAAGAGAUAGACACAUUACGCUAAAAAUUGCACAGAAUCUUCCUUCGCGCUUGUCUCCAAAUGUCGAUACGCAAAUUUUGGCUAAAAAGGCUAAUGCACAGGUGAGAAACUUAAAUUUCGCUGCGUUGUUGAACGGUGGUGUACUCCACACAAAAUUGUGGCUCAUCGAUCGUACUCACGUAUAUGUAGGCUCAGCGAAUAUGGAUUGGAGAUCUCUUUCGCAAGUGAAGGAACUCGGUUUGAUAGUCUUAAAUUGUUCCUGCUUAGCGAACGAUUACGCCAAAAUAUUCGAUGUAUAUUGGAAGUUAAGCGAAGAUGGUAAAGUGCCUUCCACAUGGCCAGAUUCCCUUAGCACAAAAAUAAAUAUAAAUAAUCCUUUGAAUUUUACAUAUAUGGAUAAUAAGUACAAAUUAUUUAUUGCGAGUUCACCUCCGCCAUUUUCACCGAAAGGUAGAAGCAACGACCUAGAUGCGAUUGUGCAUUGUAUUGCUAAGGCGGAAAAGUUUAUUUAUAUCUCUGUGAUGGAUUAUUUCCCAUUAACUAUAUAUACUGCACAAAUAAAAUAUUGGCCUAUAAUAGACAAUGCUCUGAGGGCGGCGGCGAUCGAGCGUAAAGUAGAAGUGCGUCUUUUGAUCUCUUUGUGGAAACAUUCGAGACCGUCCGAAUCAUACUUUCUUAAAUCACUGCAAGACUUGACGCACAGUUAUCCUAACGUUAAAAUCGAAGUGAAAAGGUUUAUUGUACCGACUAAUUCAAUCUUGGACAAAAUACCAUAUGCGAGAGUAAAUCAUAAUAAAUACAUGGUCACCGAUAUAACAGCUUAUAUUGGAACAAGUAAUUGGUCGGGUGAUUACUUUAUUGACACGGCUGGUAUCUGUGAAUGGAUCCAAUCCCCUCCACGAUAGUGCCUUGUCUUGUCUGGGUAACCGCUAUUAAUCGAUUAAAAUAUUCAUCAAACCAGUAUCACGAUACUAGUAACAUUCCACAGAUAUUACUU